UGUGUGUCUAUCUGCUAGGGUCUUGGAGAA
RNAcentral lists this non-coding RNA (30 nucleotides) under Homo sapiens (human). Lineage: Eukaryota; Metazoa; Chordata; Mammalia; Primates; Hominidae. The record is from RNAcentral.